This 468-nucleotide ribosomal RNA is filed under the name uncultured bacterium. RNAcentral's name for it is "partial 16S ribosomal RNA". It matches the Rfam family "Bacterial small subunit ribosomal RNA", at positions 28 to 507 of the family's 1533-position model. The record is from RNAcentral.
GACGAACGCUGGCGGCGUGCUUAACACAUGCAAGUCGAACGGACAGGCCCUUCUUUUGUGGGGUGCUCGUGUGGCGAACGGGUGAGUCACACGUGAGUAACCUGCCCUUUACUUUGUGAUAACUUCAGGAAACUGGGGCUAAUACCUGCUAGGAGCUCCUGCUGCAUGGUGGGGGUUGGAAAUUUUCGGCGUUUGGGGAUGGACUCGCUGCUUAUCAGCUUGUUGGUGGGGUAGUGGCUUACCAAGGCUUUGACGGGUAGCCGGCCUGCGAGGGUGACCGGACACAUUGGGACUGAGAUAAGGCCCGGACCACUAUGGGAGGCAGCAGAGGGGAAGAUAGCACAAGGCGCGGAAGCCUGAUGCAGCAACGCCGCGUGCGGGAUGACGGCCUGCGGGUUGUAAACCGCUUUCGCCUGUGACGAAGCGUGAGUGACGGUAAUGGGUAAAGAAGCACCGGCUAACUACGUG